Molecule: ribosomal RNA, 426 nt
Filed under: uncultured bacterium
Lineage: Bacteria
Description: bacterial SSU rRNA
Rfam family: Bacterial small subunit ribosomal RNA
Source: RNAcentral
GUGAGGAAUUUUCCGCAAUGGGCGAAAGCCUGGCGGAGCAAUGCCGCGUGAAGGAUGAAGGCCUAUGGGUUGUAAACUUCUUUUCUCAGAAAAGAAUUAUGACGGUAUCUGAGGAAUAAGCAUCGGCUAACUCUGUGCCAGCAGCCGCGGUAAGACAGAGGAUGCAAGCGUUAUCCGGAAUGAUUGGGCGUAAAGCGUCUGUAGGUUGUUUAAAAAGUAUUCUGUCAAAGAUUAGGGCUUAACCCUAGAUAGGCAGAAUAAACUUUUAAGCUAGAGUUUGGUAGAGGCAGAGGGAAUUCCCGGUGGAGCGGUGAAAUGCGUAGAUAUCGGGAGGAACACCAAAGGCGAAGGCACUCUGCUGGGCCAAUACUAACACUGAGAGACGAAAGCGAGGGGAGCAAAUGGGAUUAGAAACCCGAGUAGUCC